UCUCUGAAUCCUAAAACCUCAUAAAACUCCUGGUACGUGGCCCAGGGAGUCGAUGUCACUAUAGGACACCAUUUCUUCUUAGUACCCAACCUGAAGUGACGGAGCAUCUCAACCGGAUUAGCAACAACCUACGGAUCAUCACGCGACAAAUCAGUGAACCUCCUGUAAUGCUCAAUAGCUGACAUCUUUCCUUGCUUCAAA
RNAcentral lists this long non-coding RNA (201 nucleotides) under Malus domestica (apple). Its description in RNAcentral is "long non-coding RNA (MDOM_LNC012825)". The record is from RNAcentral. Lineage: Eukaryota; Viridiplantae; Streptophyta; Magnoliopsida; Rosales; Rosaceae.